ACGGGUAGCUCAGCAGUCUAGAGCAGCAGCCCUACCCAGGACUGCAGAUCAUGGGUUUGAAUCCUGUCUCACGUA
Molecule: transfer RNA, 75 nt
Filed under: Aeriscardovia aeriphila
Lineage: Bacteria; Bacillati; Actinomycetota; Actinomycetes; Bifidobacteriales; Bifidobacteriaceae
Description: tRNA-Gly
Source: RNAcentral